RNAcentral lists this transfer RNA (69 nucleotides) under Ictidomys tridecemlineatus (thirteen-lined ground squirrel). Its description in RNAcentral is "Spermophilus tridecemlineatus (thirteen-lined ground squirrel) tRNA". It matches the Rfam family "tRNA". From Rfam's summary of the family: Transfer RNA (tRNA) molecules are approximately 80 nucleotides in length. Their secondary structure includes four short double-helical elements and three loops (D, anti-codon, and T loops). Further hydrogen bonds mediate the characteristic L-shaped molecular structure. tRNAs have two regions of fundamental functional importance: the anti-codon, which is responsible for specific mRNA codon recognition, and the 3' end, to which the tRNAs corresponding amino acid is attached (by aminoacyl-tRNA synthetases). tRNAs cope with the degeneracy of the genetic code in two manners: having more than one tRNA (with a specific anti-codon) for a particular amino acid; and 'wobble' base-pairing, i.e. permitting non-standard base-pairing at the 3rd anti-codon position. The record is from Rfam by way of RNAcentral. Lineage: Eukaryota; Metazoa; Chordata; Mammalia; Rodentia; Sciuridae.
GGGGUUAUGGCUCAGUGGUAGAGCACUCACCUGGCAUGUGUAAGGCACUGGGUUCGAUCCUCAGCACCA